AGAUGACAAACAUGUGGAUUAGGGAGAUCAAAUGAUUUGUCCAGUUCAUAGCUAAAGAGCAACAGACUGGAGUCAAAGCCAGGAAAGCACUAGAAAUCAUCUGACAGUGCAGAUUCAGGAGCAAGAAGGAUGCAACAAUUCUCGACUGUUUGGAGUUCCUCCGUCCAGUGCUCUGUGUUGGACCCUAAGUGCACACCACUGAAUGUGAAACAUUGUUCUGCAACUUGCUUUCUUCUCUUUCCAUAUCUUGGAGGUAUGAAAGAAACCUUAACACCACAUAAAUAGAAAGGUUUUUUUCUUUCAGUAAGGAAAGUGAGAGUGAGGGAAUGUAAUCGAAUGAACCCAACAUUUAUCACAGAGAAUGAC
Long non-coding RNA from Bos taurus (domestic cattle), 366 nucleotides. The record is from Ensembl. Lineage: Eukaryota; Metazoa; Chordata; Mammalia; Artiodactyla; Bovidae.